Molecule: non-coding RNA, 2274 nt
Organism: Phascolarctos cinereus (koala)
Lineage: Eukaryota; Metazoa; Chordata; Mammalia; Diprotodontia; Phascolarctidae
Source: RefSeq, a predicted model, not a curated record
UGUACUGGUAGUUGUUUGGACAGUGGAGAGAGCUCGGGUGAAAUGUAAACGUCGAAUACGCAGCCAGACCUGCAAACUACGGGACAGGUACAGGAGGAAAUGGAAGGCCUACACACCUUUUUUGCAUCAAUUGGGUGGAUAGAGGGACAUAGAAAUUGUCGUGUACUGGCACAGAUGAAGUCACUCUGAUAGCCCCAGAAGCCUUCUCUCAGGGGACACAAGCAACAGGAAAGAAAAGGUGGCAGCUGCUGAAUAAAUGCCUGCUAGAAUGCUGCAAAGAAUGGGAAGCUACGAGAGUGCCUAUCUGGGGACGAAGAGCUGAACAAAUUAUGAUAUUUGAAUGUAACAGAAUACUAUUGUGCCAUAAAGAACAAUGAUGAGGGUGGUUUUGGAGAAACCUGGGAAGGCUUGUUGUGAAGUGAGCAGAACCAAGAAAUUAAUUUAUAUAAUAACAACCAAGUCGAAUGAACUCUGAUCAAAUAAAUAACCAACGAUGAUUCUGGAAGACUGUUGGUGAAGCAGUCUCCUGAAAGAAAGGUGACAGAUUCAGGGUACAGAAUGAAACAUAUAGUUUUUUGACUAAGGCAAGGUGGCAUUUUGUUUUGCUUGACUAGGCAUAUUUGUUCCAAGGAGUUUUCUUUUAAUGGUGAGGGUGGGAUAGGGAGAGAAAAUAGAUAUUAACUGAAAAAAACUAAAAUUUAAUUUAAAAAAAGAUGGGGUAGGGGGUGGGUGUCUCAAUUGUUGUCUCUGUCAAUCUGCUAUUAACACUAACUCCUGCUAAUAAGGGAAAGACCCCCAAGCAGAAAGAGACAAAUAUCAAGGAGAACUCUAAGAAAGGCAAGAGUGGCCUGGUGGCCAGAGAAACUCAGGGCCUGAGAAGCUAGGUAGGAUAGAGAACAGAGGAGAACAGAUAAUUCUCUUAAAGUCAGCUAAAUUGAACCAAUCAACUGAAAUAGAAGAGCAUGGGCAGGUGGGGGUAGGGAGUGGGGGCAGCUGUAGUGUGCGAGGAGUUCCUCAUCCCAAUGGAUGGCUCUAUCUGUGUAUACCUGUAGAGCUCAGUUUUAUUUUCUUCUAUCAUAUGUAUUUUACAACUGGGAGGGACCUCAGAGGCCAUCUAGUAAUUUUACACAUGAACAAAUUGGGGCCCAGAGAAAUGAAAUGAUUUGCCCAAGGUCCUAUAUGGUAGUUAUAUGAUUAAGACCCAAAUUUCUAGACUCUCAGUCUGCUGUUCUUUCUUCUAUACAACUCUACAUCUUUCCUUUUAUUUUUGGUUUUGACUUUGUGGACAGUUUCCCCCUUCCCAAACUUGCUCUUCUCCCUCAGGAAGGGGGCUUCCUACUUAGGAAUGUCCCUUUAGGGGAGUGAUCCUUCUUAUCAUGGAGAGACUUGAUCCCAGGGCCUCAAAAAUCUGAGAAUACUUCAUCCCACCCACAAAACCCUCAAUCCCCACAAACCCACCCCACAGGCUCUUGGGGAGACACACAUCAGGACAAACAAACAAUUUAAAAGUUGAGUUGGGUCUCUCUGGCUAAAGCUAUGAUUUCAGCUUUAAUGACAGUAAUUAUACCUUAUGCAGCUGAAAUGAGCUAAUUCCUUUUGUGGUAUCAUUUUGCUGUCCUCAGCCAUACUGCCUUCUCUUCGGUCCAUGUGGUAUACUGGAUGGAGUGCUGGACUGAAGUCAGAAAGACUUGGGUUCAAAUCGUCCCUCUGACACUUAUUGGCUAUGCGACCGAGUGCCUUCAUCUUUGUGAGCCUCAGUUUCCUCGACUGUUACUUCAGGUGGUGGGCCUAGAAGGCCACCGAGGUACCUUCCAGCUCUAAAUCUAUGUCCCUGUAUAUCCUCUGGGGGACUCUUCAAUUUGGUUGGAUUCACUCUUGUACACUGACACCCCUUUUCACAAGAAAGCCAAGUCGCACAUCUAAGCUCCAUAACACCAGGUAUGGGUAAUGUAUCAAUGUGCUAAGGCCAAAGGGGAGCGCACCUUAGGCACAACACACGUCAGGUCACAGAACUCCCUUGGGCCUGCUUUACACCAUCAGAUCUCAUUACACUCAGUAUCAGAGAACAUUAGAGCUGAAGGGAAAUAAGCCAUGUCAUUCAACCUCCUCGUGUUAAUAACAACAUCGGUAAUACCUGAUAUCAGCAUGCCACUCUUGCAAUGAGCCUUAUAUACACUGUUUCAUGUAAGCCUCACAAUUGUGAUGUGGGUACUACAGGUAUUAUCAGCCCCGUUUUGCAGGUGAGGAAGCUAUGUGAUACAGUAGAUAAAGCCC